Heterocephalus glaber (naked mole-rat) is the source of this 2131-nucleotide long non-coding RNA. The record is from Ensembl. NCBI's taxonomy places the organism in Eukaryota, Metazoa, Chordata, Mammalia, Rodentia, Bathyergidae.
AUGAGGACAGUGCAUUUCCUGAAGUUCCUCCCUGUGACUGUCAGUGCCUGCAGACUUCCAGGCCCCCUGUCCAGGCAUCAUUGACAGCAAACAAACGAGACCAGAGUGUCCAGGACCUGGCAGUCCCUCCCUGCCCUGAUGCUGCUGCUGGCCCUGCUGCUGCCCCUUCUGUGGGCGGGGUCCCUGCAGGAGGAACCAAGCUACUGGCUGCGGGUGCAGAAGUUGGUGACAGUGCAGGAGACCCUGUGUGCCCUGGUGUCCUGCUCCUUCUCCUACCCCCAGGACCGCUGGAACCACUCGACCCCUGCUUAUGGCUACUGGUACCAGCACAAGGAGGGUCCCCAAAACUCAUCAUACAACAAAUGAACUUGUGGCCACAAAUGACCCACGCAAGAAAGCUGGACUGAGAAGCAAAGCUCGUUUCCAGCUGCUCGGGGACCCCAGGGCCUACAACUGCUCCCCCUGAGGAUCGCAGGGUGCCCAGCAGGGGGACAGUGGAAGUUACUAUUUUCGGGUGGAGAGGAGUCAUGAAAUACAAUUAUGUGAGACUGGUGCUGACUGUGAUUGUCACAGGUGAGGGACAGUCAGCGGGAAGGAAGGGGCAGAGGGAUGGGGAGGACCCUUAGGGGCAGAAGGGUCUCCCUGUCCUGGUGGGGAAGGGUCAGCAGAGUGUGGGACCGCUCAGGACUGAGAUGUCUGUGUCAGACACACACGGGGUCCUCUCUGGGGCCUGUCCUGUCCUUCUCUCUUUCCCCAGAGCUCACACUGAGACACCCUAGAGCAUCCACAUGCCGGAGCUGCUGGUGUCUGGUCACUCCAGUCGCCUGGAGUGCUCCAUGCCCGGGGCCUGCAGUGGGGCCCUGGCACCCACGCUUCUUCUGGACCGGGGCUGCCCUGAGACCCCUCGGGUUGGGGCUUGGGCAUUCACAGAUCUUCGGAGAUCCUGCCUCCACCACUCCCUCAGGACCACGGCACCCACCUCACCUGUCGGGUGACUCUCCCUCAGGCUGGAGUGACCAGGGAGAGGACUGUCCAGCUCAGUGUGUCCUAUCCUCCUCAGAGCCUGACCCUCAGUGUCUCCACAGCAGAUGACAGAGCCCGUGUCCUGUGUGGAUUUAAGCCUGGCGGCUCCAUCCCAAGGUACUGGGGGCACAGAGAGGAGCAGGGGCAUCGGAUCCUCAGGAGCCUUGGAAGAAUUGAUGGUUGGAUUUUGGAUUUUUGAGCAAAAGGAGGCUCAGCUGGUGGUGAGUAGUUCCAGCAGGAGAGAAAUGUGGACGAGGAUAAAUGGCUCAAAGGCAUCAUGGGGCACUCAAGAUGUCCCUAAACUGGUGGGUGGAUGGAGGCAGAGAAUGUGGCAGAUUCACACAAUGCGUUAUAAUGCAGCCAGGGAAGCUGAACCCCAUUCUGACUGGAGCUGCACACAGGUGACCCCUGGCAAAGAGGUGCUGGCGAGACAAGCCAGAUAGGAAAGCCCAAACGGCCUGAGAAAAUCUGCAGACAGAGUGGGUUGGUGUUUGCUUGGGGCUGGGGAGGCAAGGACUGGGGAGACAGCUAGGGGUGCUGGCCUUCUCUCUGGGGUGACUCAGACCCUCUAAGAUUGUGAUGGCUGAUGCCCAGCUCUGUGAAUGGACAAAAGCCACUGAAGUGCGCACUUUAAACUGUGUCUACAUGGAGUUACAUGAUGUGUGAAUUUUACAUAGGUAUAGACAAGGACUUUCUGAACAGAACCCCAGUUGAAUAAGAAAUAGUUCCAAUAAUCAACAAAUGGGAUCAUAUUAAAUUAAAGAGCUUCUGCACAGCAAAAUAAACAACCAACAGAGAAAAGACAGAUGGGAAACAAUGUUACAGAGACAGGGGACUCAUAUCCAGACUAUAUAAAGAACUAAAAAAAUUGGAGCCCCCCAAAAUAAAAAACCAAAUCAUAAAAUGGUCAAAUGAAAUGAAUAGAUACUUAACAGAAGAAGGAAAAAAGGCCAAAAAUACAUGCUUAAAUCCUCAGCGUCACAGGCAAUUAGAAAUGCAAAUAAAAACAACAAACAGGGAUUCCAUCUUACUCCAGAAGGAAUGGCCAUCAUUAAGAAAUCAAACAACAACAGAAGGCUGAGGAGUAUGCCAGAAAAGGGGCCCUUUC